RNAcentral lists this ribosomal RNA (575 nucleotides) under Hantzschia amphioxys. Its description in RNAcentral is "eukaryotic LSU rRNA". It matches the Rfam family "Eukaryotic large subunit ribosomal RNA", at positions 23 to 671 of the family's 3401-position model. Lineage: Eukaryota; Bacillariophyta; Bacillariophyceae; Bacillariales; Bacillariaceae. The record is from RNAcentral.
ACCCGCUGAAUUUAAGCAUAUUAUUAAGCGGAGGAAAAGAAACUAACCAGGAUUCCCCCAGUAAGGGCGACUGAAGCGGGAAGAGCUCAGGAUGUGAAUCAGCGCUUCGGCGUUGAAUUGUGGUCUGUAGAUUGCAUCAUUACCAGCCGGGCCAAGUCUCUUGGAAAAGGGCAGCUUAGAGGGUGAAACUCCCGUGCGCCUGGCAGGAUGAGAUGCUAAUCAACGAGUCGAGUUGUUUGGGAUUGCAGCUCAAAGUGGGUGGUAAAUUCCAUCUAAAGCUAAAUAUUGGUGGGAGACCGAUAGCGUACAAGUACCGUGAGGGAAAGAUGCAAAGAACUUUGAAAAGAGAGUUAAAGAGUACCUGAAAUCGCUGAAAGGGAAGCGAAGGAAACCAGUGCAGGUCAAGUUAUACUUCCCUGACCGCUCGCGGCUUGGGCGCUGUGGCUUGACCAGAGUCUUGCUGGGUUGAAACUUUCGGAAGAGCUUGAAGGGAGUUGACCUUCUUUGCUGACGUUUGUUUCAACUGAGCCAGACAAAAUGGUUUUCUUUUCCCCGUCUUGAAACACGGACCAAGG